UUUUUGGCUCGUACUUUUUCCAAUUGAUUAUCUUUUCUCCCCGUCAUUUUUGUAUUUCAUAGCUAUUGUCAUUUUUUCUGGUUUUUCAUUUUUCGCUGCUUGGUUUUAUUCCCGUCGCUUGUUGAUAUCGGAGGAAAACAUAUCUGUCAUGAACCCGACUCCAUGGUUGAGUUGGUUGCUACUGAAGAGGCCUUUAAAAUUUUUGACCAGGCUAGUUGGACAAGGUUCUUUGAGAGACUGUGUGGUUUUGAUGAUGUUGUGACAAUUGAGUUUGCCACGAGUUUCCACAGUAAAACUGUUACAUUGCGGGGAUUACAAUUUCCAGUGACUGUGCUAACCAUUGUAGCUAUCAUAGGGCUACCUCAAAUUGGGGAUAAUUUCUUUUCCAAUUCAUCUUCGCGAGUCACGGACCUAAAAAUUCACAAGAAACAGUUCCUUCAGCAGGGGGAAUUAGUAGAAUAUGUCCAAGGACAGGGGCGGUUCACAAGUCCUUACCAGAACCAUGGGACGAUGAUGCCAAAUUUCUAAUUCAGUAUAUCACCUGUGAAGGGCAAUACAAGUAUGUAUUUGCUCAUCAUUUUUGACUUAUGCUACAUUUAUGUCCUGCUGUCCUUGUCAAUGUUCCAUAUUAUUUGUAUUGUUCCUUGAAGCAAUCCUGUAGCCAAUUUUGUUGAGGUCAUGUAGAUUCCCUUUCCCAUCAUGGGUUAAUUAAAAUAAUCGUGCUCCAUGGACUUUGUGUUGCUCAACCUCCUUUAGAAUGGGACACUUUUGUGCAUCAGGAUAGUGGAGAAAACCCUGAAUCUCCCCAAAUUGAUAAAUCCCUAGAAGCUGGAUCCUCUAAACGACGACACUCUAAACCUCUGCUUACUCCAAGCCCUAAGAAGUCAAAAACCCUCAUGACACAAUCACCUAAGAAGCAGAAGGCCAAGAAAAAGCCUACGUCUCAUACUCCCAAGAAGCCAAAGGGUAACAUAGGUCACACCCCAAGCCCACAUUCUAUGAUUACUCGCCAAAAUAAACAGCGUACUCCUGAUAGGUUGAAUUAACUUGCUGAAGCUACUGACUCUGUUCAUGAUGUGGAAAUCUGGCCACUCAAAAGCCUAAACAGAACAAUCAGCGACUACUCCAGGAGUUGAGAAGCCAACAAUGAAGGAAUAAAAAACAGCAGCAACAGAAACAGGUCUUUGCCUCCGGUGAACAAGGGGAUUUGGAGUCAGAUGACGAAAAUAUGUCUAAAAAUUUGGAAACUCUUCAAGACCAUGUGAUUGGCGAGGAGACUGAAUAGGGGAAUGCUGAUAUCUGGACCAAUGAAGUUGAGAACACUCUAGAAAUACAACAGGAGGACCCAAUUGAGGAUACUAAGACUGAGAAUUUACUGGAAAAUGUAUCUCUUCAAUAGAAAGGGCAUGUAAUGUUCCUCUUGAAACAAACACACAACAAGAUACGGGUAUAAUGGAGGAGAAUCAUAUUGCAGAUACUAGUUUGGUCCUUUGUCAGGUUGAACAAAAAGAUACUGAUAUGCCCCUCGCUCCUCAAACAAAAACAGAGCGUCCUCCUGAUGAGUCUGUUGUUACACUUUUUGGUAGUGAAGUUCCUAUUGACCAUACAAGCUCUAUUUCUUUAGAAUCCCAGAGUCCAGUUGUUACAGAACCUUUCAAGGCCCCUGAAGCUUAUUGGUACAACUACAAACACUUGUUGGUUAGGGGAAGGAAACCACCAAUAGGGAAGGAGUUAACGAAUUCAUAGAGAUUUCUAAAUGCUUGGUUGCAAAGCCUACUGGUUUCAGUCAUCCACCCAAUUUGCAUGAGGGAAUGCAAAAUCCUUAAGCUCGGGGGAAAUGAUGGGAGAAACAUGUGGAGACAAUUCAGCCAUAUGGAUGGAGUUGGGCGAUGUGAAGAUUGGGCUUUUGUUGAAACAAAUCUAUCUAUUUCUUUAAUUUUGGAAUAGUUGUUAGUAGGUUUAAAACUUCUGGCCUGCAGCCAAAGUCGAACUCUAUGUUUAGUACUUUAUGGCCAACGACCAUAACAAACUAUGGUUUCUAUUUUGUUUAUUUUGGUACAUCAGAACACUAUAUAUAUGUGAAUGUAUGGUUGAAAGACUAUCAAAACUAUAUAGAAGAAACAUUCUG
Molecule: long non-coding RNA, 2128 nt
Organism: Cryptomeria japonica (Japanese cedar)
Lineage: Eukaryota; Viridiplantae; Streptophyta; Pinopsida; Cupressales; Cupressaceae
Exons: 2
Source: RefSeq, a predicted model, not a curated record